RNAcentral lists this ribosomal RNA (403 nucleotides) under uncultured bacterium. RNAcentral describes it as "bacterial SSU rRNA". It matches the Rfam family "Bacterial small subunit ribosomal RNA", at positions 29 to 416 of the family's 1533-position model. The record is from RNAcentral.
AACGAACGUUAGCGGCGCGCCUAACACAUGCAAGUCGAGCGAGAAAGGGCUUCGGCCCCGGUAAAGCGGCGCACGGGUGAGUAACACGUGGGUAACCUGCCCUCGGGUUGGGGAUAACAUUCCGAAAGGAGUGCUAAUACCGAAUAAGACCACGACCUCGAAAGAGGAUGCGGUCAAAGCUGGCCUCUAUACAUAAGCUAGCGCCUGAGGAUGGGCCCGCGGCGCAUCAUGGUAGUUGGUGAGGUAACGGCUCACCAAGCCGAAGACGCGUAGCUGGUCUGAGAGGAUGAUCAGCCACACUGGAACUGAGACACGGUCCAGACUCCUACGGGAGGCAGCAGUGGGGAAUCUUGCGCAAUGGGCGAAAGCCUGACGCAGCGACGCCGCGUGAGUGAUGAAGGCC